Non-coding RNA from Gossypium raimondii (Peruvian cotton), 52 nucleotides. The record is from Rfam. Lineage: Eukaryota; Viridiplantae; Streptophyta; Magnoliopsida; Malvales; Malvaceae.
AUAGCGGCGUUUUUUUUAAAAACGCCACAAAAAAUAUUCCACAAAAGAUUAU